AACGAACGCUGGCGGCAGGCCUAACACAUGCAAGUCGAGCGAGACCUUCGGGUCUGGCGGCGGACGGGUGAGUAACGCGUGGGAAUAUGCCCUUUGGUACGGAAUAGCCUCGGGAAACUGAGAGUAAUACCGUAUGUGCCCUUCGGGGGAAAGAUUUAUCGACAAAGGAUUAGCCCGCGUUGGAUUAGGUAGUUGGUGGGGUAAUGGCCUACCAAGCCUACGAUCCAUAGCUGGUCUGAGAGGAUGAUCAGUCACACUGGGACUGAGAUACGGCCCAGACUCCUACGGGAGGCAGCAGUGGGGAAUCUUAGACAAUUGGGGCAACCCUGAUCUAGCCAUGCCGCGUGAGUGAUGAAGGCCUUAGGGUUGUAAAGCUCUUUCAGCUGGGAAGAUAAUGACGGUACCAGCAGAAGAAGCCCCGGCUAACUCCGUGCCAGCAGCCGCAGUAA
RNAcentral lists this ribosomal RNA (449 nucleotides) under uncultured bacterium. Its description in RNAcentral is "partial 16S ribosomal RNA". It matches the Rfam family "Bacterial small subunit ribosomal RNA", at positions 29 to 523 of the family's 1533-position model. The record is from RNAcentral.